RNAcentral lists this transfer RNA (67 nucleotides) under Empis tessellata. RNAcentral's name for it is "tRNA-Asn". Lineage: Eukaryota; Metazoa; Arthropoda; Insecta; Diptera; Empididae. The record is from RNAcentral.
UUAAUUGAAGCCAAAAAAGAGGCAUGUCAUUGUUAAUGAUAUAAUUGAGAAUCCUCCUCCAAUUAAG